CCUACGGGAGGCAGCAGUGAGGAAUAUUGGUCAAUGGAGGGAAGUCUGAACCAGCCAUGCCGCGUGAAGGAAGAAGGCUCUAUGAGUUGUAAAUUGUAUUUGUACAAAGGUAAACCUGAAUACGUGUAUUCAGCUGAAAGUACUGUACGAAUAAGGAUCGGCUAACGCCGUGCCAGCAGCCGCGGUAAUACGGAGGGUCCAAGCGUUAUCCGGAUUUAUUGGGUUUAAAGGGUGCGUAGGCGGAUUGAUAAGUUAGAGGUGAAAUGUCCGAGCUUAACUCGGGAACUGCCUCGAAAACUGUUGAUCUAGAGAGUAGAUGCGGUAGGCGGAAUGUAUGGUGUAGCGGUGAAAUGCUUAGAUAUCAUACAGAACACCGAUUGCGAAGGCAGCUUACCAAUCUAUAUCUGACGUUGAGGCACGAAAGCGUGGGGAGCAAACAGGAUUAGAUACCCUGGUAGUC
Molecule: ribosomal RNA, 460 nt
Filed under: uncultured bacterium
Lineage: Bacteria
Description: partial 16S ribosomal RNA
Rfam family: Bacterial small subunit ribosomal RNA
Source: RNAcentral